Molecule: ribosomal RNA, 301 nt
Filed under: uncultured bacterium
Lineage: Bacteria
Description: partial 16S ribosomal RNA
Rfam family: Bacterial small subunit ribosomal RNA
Source: RNAcentral
CAGUAGCCGCGGUAAUACGAAGGGGGCUAGCGUUGCUCGGAAUUACUGGGCGUAAAGGGAGCGUAGGCGGAUGUUUAAGUCAGAGGUGAAAGCCCAGGGCUCAACCUUGGAACUGCCUUUGAUACUGGACAUCUUGAGUAUGGGAGAGGUAAGCGGAACUCCGAGUGUAGAGGUGAAAUUCGUAGAUAUUCGGAAGAACACCAGUGGCGAAGGCGGCUUACUGGCCCAUUACUGACGCUGAGGCUCGAAAGCGUGGGGAGCAAACAGGAUUAGAUACCCCCGUAGUCCCUGUCUCUUAUAC